RNAcentral lists this long non-coding RNA (3669 nucleotides) under Homo sapiens (human). RNAcentral describes it as "PREDICTED lncRNA (TCONS_00147851)". The record is from RNAcentral. Lineage: Eukaryota; Metazoa; Chordata; Mammalia; Primates; Hominidae.
CCCAACUCCUCCCAACCCCUCAUAGCCCUGCUCUGGAGCAGGUAAAUAUUCCUCACGCCAGCAGGUGAGGAGGCUGGGGCCAGAUGACAGCUAGUGAGGGAGCAGAGACAAGACAAGGCGAGCCUGUGACAGAGCGAGACCCUGUCUCAAAAAACAAAAACAAGACAUGUGAGCUUGGACUCCAGUGUGGAAUCCCAUGUCCGCUCAGUGCACCUUUCUGCCGCUGAAAGUACAAGAGGAGAGGGGAAACCCACAGGUGGAGCUGACCAUGAGGACUGUCACAGAGCAACUAGCACCAGCCUCAGCAUGGAGCAGGACUUCAGUUCCAGCAGCGAGGACUGAGAUCAGACACAAGAGAAAGCUCCCUGAUGAGGAGGGGUGAUUCUAAAACGAAGGGCGGAAAUUAUCUGGGGAAUUUCCUUCCCGUGAAGCCUCAGGAACAUGCCAGUCCCCCACUUCGGUCUGUCCUGGGGGGUCUCACGCCCCUGUCCUCCUAGAGAAAUCUAGAUCCUCCAAACUCUGCCUGGGUUCUUCCUGGGGAGUCUUGACCCCUGCCUUGUGGUUGAUGUGGGAUAGGGGACCCGGGAACAGGGCUGCCUUCCUCUGGCCAAGGCCUGGCAAGCAAGUGUGGGAUGGGUGCUGUCUUCCUGAGAGGGACAAUAGAAGUGACAGAGCCCCCUAAUUCAAGACCCUGCAGAGGUGGUGUGAGAUCUUAUAAUAUCAGUCUCUAAGCCAGUGCCUCUCAAGCUCUCUUUGGUGAAGAAUCAAUUUUUAAAAUAUAUAAUCAGUCACAGAUCAAUGCUUUUGUAAAAUGCAAUAAAAGUUAAUUUCCAAAAAAAUCACAUACUUGGGUACCAUGGUAAUGUCAAUGUAAAAUUGCUGUAAAAUUGUUCUAAGUGCUUACUCUCAAUGUCUGUGCUCAGCUUAUCAGCAACCAGUAACAGUUUGUACCACUGGUUUGUACCACGACAACCAUGCUACACUUGGAGCUGACACUUUCAUAAAGGUUAAUUUCCCUCUUUUCCUUCCUGAAGUUUGACCUCUUCCUUGAUUAGAUAGGAGGAGGGAUUCCGACAGCCCCUCACCAUCUGUUUAGAACCUCUCCCCCCAUUGCAGGUCCUUCCUGGUCAUCUAACACCAUAUGCCAUAUGGAACAGUCCUGAUUAUACAUAUUCUGUCUCAUGGGCAAUGUGUUCUGAUUUGGGUCUUUUUUUUUUUUUUUUUUUUUUUUGAGACAGAUACUCUGUCACUCAGGUUGGAGUGCAAUGGCAUGAUCAUAGCUCACACUGCAGCCUCCAACUCCUGGGCUCAAGCGAUCCUCCUGCCUCAACCUCCCUUGUAGCUAGGACUACAGGUGUGAGUCAUCACCAUAGCUGAUUUUUUUUUACUUUUGUUAUUUGUAGAGAUGAGGACUCACUGUGUUGCCCAGGCUGGUCUUGAACUCCUGACCUCAAGCAAUCCUCCCACCUCAGCCUCCCGAAGUGCUGGGAUGAGCCACCCAUUCACACAGGCAUGAGGCACUGCACCUAGCUUGAUUUUUUUUUCUAUUGACUGCCCUACAGUAGAUGUGUUCGUGAAAACGUGAGCAUAGAUUCUGUAUUUGAUGCAAAAAAGAAUGAGGAGAACUGGGUCCCAAGGCAGGCAAGCCCUUCCUGGGAUGGUUAUAGGAACCAAAAGUGUCCUGCUGAGUGGGACACAGUGCAAAGGCUUCUGCCUGGAAUUAUAACAACUGCAGUUACAAUUUUUUUUGAGCACCUAAGAUAUGCCAGACCCUGAGCUUCACAAGCCGUAUCUCUAUCUUUCCCAGCAAUUUUGCAAAAUAGAUAUGAUUUGUCUAAUUUAAAAUGAGCUAUAUCAACUCCAUGUGGCUAUGCAGGUGCUAUGCAGCCUAGAAGGCUUUAAAACGGCAUCUUCCAAAUGCUGGUCUGGGAGCAGCUUCACAGCAUCCUGAGGAGCUUUUUAAAAAUGCAGACACCCAGCCCCACAUCCUCGAUUUUUAUUCGAAGCCUGUGAGCCUUCCCCAGGCCCCCCAGGUGACUCCGAAUCCUGGCUGGCUCUGGCACUGCGGUUCUGGGCUGCUAAGGGCUGGGGUCUUGUGGGCUGAGGGGGAACCAUAGGAAAAGUCCAGGAAAAGCCACAAUGGGAAGGGUGCCUGGGAGGGAACUUCAGUAAACUAUAAUACAGCCAUAUGGCAGCAUACUAUACAGCCCUUAAAAAUGAAGAAUUUGGCUGGGCAAAGUGGCUCAUGGCUAUAAUCCCAACACUUUGGGAGGUCAAGGCAGGUGGAUCACCUGAGGUCAGGAGAUCAAGACCAGCCUGACUGACAUGGUGAAAUCCCAUCUCUACUAAAAAUGCAAAAAUUAGCCAGGCGUGGUGGGACACACCAGUAGUCCUAGAUACUCAGGAGGCUGAGGCAGGAAAAUCGCUUGAACCCGGGAGGCAGAGGUUGCAGUGAGCUGAGAUCCCGCCACUGCACUCCAGCCUAGGUGACAGAGCAAGACUCCGUCUCAAAAAAAAAGAAUUUGUGAUAACAUUAGAACAGACAUUAAGGGAACAAGACAGGUAAUAAAUUGCGUAUAUAGUUUUGCCACAGCUGUAUAACAAAUGCAAAAGUGCAUGUUUUUUUAAAAAAAAGACUGGAAGGAAAAACAAAAUGUUUUAUUGGUUAUCUCCACAUGAAGAUUCUAUGUGAUUUUACCUUCCUCUGUACACUUUUCUCCCUAGGGAGCGUGUUACCUUUCUAAAUAGAAAAGCGUAAGUGUGUUUUUGAAAGAGAAAAGUCUGUCAUCCUCUGUCACCCCAGCCAGCAGAAGUCAACUUUCACAUUCUGGAGUUAGGCAGAAAUUGCUGGGGUUUUUGUUUUCUUCUUCCCUCUGAGGGCAGGAAAUAACUCUUUCCCACUGGGUUUCCUGCUGGAGUUGGAGGCCCAGAAAAAUUCUGGCUGAAGACUGGAGGCAGGUAUAAACAUGCCAGGCUUGCAAGGUCCUCUGUGAGUGGCUCUUGGGUAUCUCUGCGUCCCUCUCUCUCCAGCACCUGCUCUGGGAGCUGUUUCUGGAAAGCACCAUCACCACUUUUGCAAGGCCGUCCUCUCUACCUGGAAGGCUCUUCCCUGCUCCUCUCUUGCUUAACUAACAUCCUUCGGCCAUUGUCUUAGGUGUCCAUGUUCUAAGGCCCAUCUUCCCUGACCCCCAGUACUGAGUCAGGACCCCCAAGAGCUCCCAGAACACCCUGUUCUCCCUGAUUUGAUUGUCAUCAUGGGUUACUUCUAAGGCUCCCCAAGGGUUGGGACUCUAUAUCCGGUGCAUUAUCAAAGCCUGGUACACAGCAGGCACUCAAUAAAUGUUUACUGAAUGAAUGAAGAAAUCCUGCCUUGAGAUCCAAGGUACCAAAGGAGCUCUGAGAGAGGCAGGUGUCAUCCCAAGGAGCUCUGGUACCUGCCUCUCUCAGAGCUCCUUGGAGGAAAGGGUCCAGGUAGUUCUUUCUGCAUAAAGCUGUUAUGGCUGGUGCCAUGUGAUUCAAAAACCACCUCCACCACCUGCUCCAAGGGAUUAGACCGGAGAUAGGAAGGCAAGCAGACAGCGGGCAGGAGGGGGCUGGCCUCCUCUUCAAUGGCUUGCUCAGAAACUCUGCCCCAUGCAGGGACUCUGUCUAGGGUGGUGGCUAACUGGC